Cyprinus carpio carpio is the source of this 3454-nucleotide long non-coding RNA. NCBI's taxonomy places the organism in Eukaryota, Metazoa, Chordata, Actinopteri, Cypriniformes, Cyprinidae. The record is from Ensembl.
UCUUUUAAAAGGGAUUUAAAGUUUAAUUCAUCAAGGAUGCCUUGAAUUGAAAAGUGACAGUAAAGACAUUUAUAAUAUUAUAAAAUAUAAAAUAUUUAUCUUUCAAAUAAAUGCUGUGUCACGAAACGCACACAGACAGGUAGAUCCAAAUGCAGUGUUUAUUAAAGGGUAAUCCAAAAUCAUAAACAGUCCAGGCAGGGGUCAAAACCAAACAUAAACAGUCCAAAACACGAAACACGAACAUCCACUAGGGAACCAGGAAAAAGCAGGGUGACAUGCAACAAGGACUCCGUAACAAUGACAGAAACAACCAGGGUAUUUAAAGACAGGUGCAAACAAGGUAAGUGGUGACAGCUGAACACAAUGAACAGUGAUGAACAGAUAAGGCUAGUGGGAAAUGUAGUUCUGAAGGAGGUGACAACAAGGGGAAGUGAGACCUCUAGUGGCCACCCAGGGAGACACAGAACAGACCCGUGACACUACCCCCCCUCUAAGGAGCAUCUUCCAGAUGCUCCUCAGAACAAAAUAAACACAAAACAAAGAGACCAGGAAGGAGGUGGACUGGUGGAGGCAGAACAGGGGGAGGGAUGGCGGGCCAGGCCCGUGUAGGGGAACUGGGACCGGCAGCGAUGGCUCCCCUGGUAGCCCAGGUGGCUCGGUCAGAUCAGGGGGCCAUGGUGGACCCGAAAGUUCAGGGGACCACGAGGGACCAGGCAGUUCAGGUGGCCACGGUGGACCCGAAAGUUCAGGGGACCACGAGGGGCCAGGCAGUUCAGGUGGCCACGGUGGAUCAGUCCAUUCUCGUUGUGCAGACGGCCAGGGAGGAAUUCGCCAUUUGAGUGGCCCAAACGGAACCUGCCAAUCGGGGAGCCAGUAAGGAGCAGGCUGUGGCGAUGGCCAGGUCACGGCAUUGGGAACGGCAUCGGGAACGGCCUCAGCCAAGGGCACCGCCUCGGGAACGGCCUUGGACACGGGUAUCGCCUCCGGAACCAUCUCGGGCCCCGCAUCGGCCUCCGGAACAGCAUCGGGCACCGCCUCGGCAUCGGGCACCGCCUCGGCCAUUGCAUCGGGAACUGCCUCGACCACCGCCUCGGUCAUUGCAUCGGGAACCACCUCGGCCACCGCAUCGGGCACCACCUCGGCAUCGGGGACCGCCUCGGCAUCGGGGACCGCCUCGGCAUCGGGGACCGCCUCGGCAUCGGGCAUUGCAUCGGGAACCUUGGACACGUCCUCCUGGACGGUAGCGGCCUGCUCGGGAACGUCCUCCUGGAUGGCAGCGGCCUGCUCGGGAACGUCCCUCCUGGGACGGCAGCGGCCUGCUCGGGAACGUCCUCCUGGACGGCAGCGGCCUGCUCGGGAACGUCCUCCGGGCUUUGAGGAACAGCUGACGCCUGUCUCCUCCUCCUGCGGCCUCUAUGAUGACGUGCCGGUGGCUCCUUGACGGAAGACUCAGGCGUUGAGUCAACCAUCUUGUCUGCCAACACAGGUGUAGAUUCGACCAUCCUGUGCAGUGGUGCUGGGCUGGUGGUCAUCUCGUGCUGUGGUGCUGGGCUGGCGGCCAUCUUGUGCUGUGGCGCUGGGCUGGCGGCCAUCUUGUGCUGUGGUGCUGCACUGGUGGCCAUCUUGGCCAUUGGCGCUGGCUCAGCGGCCGUGAUGUGAACACUCCCGGGAAACUCUGGGAUCUGGCACAUCCUGGAAAAGUAACUUAAUACUGUCUCCGCGGCCAUCUUGUGCUGUGGCGCUGGGCUGGCGGCCAUCUUGUGCUGUGGCGCUGGGCUGGCGGCCAUCUUGUGCUGUGGCGCUGGGCUGGCGGCCAUCUUGUGCUGUGGCGCUGGGCUGGUGGCCAUCUUGUGCUGUGGCGCUGGGCUGGCGGCCAUCUUGUGCUGUGGCGCUGGAUCAGCCGAUGUAUCCCACCGAGCACGAUGGUGCAGGUAAUUAGUAAAACCCCAAAAGUCCAGGAUCUCCAGCCCCAUCAUCUCCCAUUGAGGCAAAGGAUCAUCUAGGCAAUUGUUGAAUAAGUCUUUCAGUGCUGCAUCAUUAUAACCUAGCCCGACUGCCAUGGUCCAAAACACUUGCGCCAGGCCACCCACCUCACUCCCCCUUUGACGAAGGGUGGUUAAGUUCCGGAAUCUCCCCCUCCGUUCCUCCAUGGUGGCUGGGGAACAGAUUCGAAAUCCCACACCGCUGGAUCUAGGCAUGACGGAGUCCUUCUGUCACGAAACGCACACAGACAGGUAGAUCCAAAUGCAGUGUUUAUUAAAGGGUAAUCCAAAAUCAUAAACAGUCCAGGCAGGGGUCAAAACCAAACAUAAACAGUCCAAAACACGAAACACGAACAUCCACUAGGGAACCAGGAAAACGCAGGGUGACAUGCAACAAGGACUCCGUAACAAUGACAGAAACAACCAGGGUAUUUAAAGACAGGUGCAAACAAGGUAAGUGGUGACAGCUGAACACAAUGAACAGUGAUGAACAGAUAAGGCUAGUGGGAAAUGUAGUUCUGAAGGAGGUGACAACAAGGGGAAGUGAGACCUCUAGUGGCCACCCAGGGAGACACAGAACAGACCCGUGACAUGCUGACCUUCUGAACUUUCUAUUUCUAACUAUUUUCAACAGUGAUAAUAAAAAAUAUUUCUUAAGCAGCAAAUCUCCAAAUCAAAAUAUGCUUCUAGAAUGAUUUCUGAAGGAUCAUGUGACACUGAAGACUGGAAAAAUGAUGCUGAAAUUUUAGAUUUAUGUAAAAAAAAAAAAAAAGUUAUUUUAAAUUGUAAAAAUAGUUAACAAUAUUACUGUUUUUACUGUAUUUUUUAAUCAAAUAAAUGCUGCCUUGGUGAGAAUAAGAGACAGCUUCCUUCACAAACAUUAAAAAUUGUGCCAAUUUUAAACUUUUUAAUGGUAGUGUACAGUAAGAGCUUACAGCAAUAAAAUAAAUGUGGGUGGUUUAGUCCUGAUCAUUCAGUUUUGGGAGAAUUUGGGUAAUGUUUGAAUUUGUAUUGUGGUCUUUGACUUUUGCUGGCAGAUUUUGCUAUCUUGGCAAAUCUGAGCUCAAUUUGAGACAUUAUUGAGGUCUCUUCGGAAACUCUAGAGGAGACGCAUGUGAGAUUACUGGCUUCUUUUUCUCAGAAGAAACAUCUGAGAAGCAGGAGACCUCAGUGGUCUAAUAUUGUGGUUUAGCAAAUGAGAUUUUAAGGAGAUUUACUUUGAAUUUUUUUUUUUUUUUUUCAUUGCUACAGUAUCCUGUGUGUUAGCACUGGAUCACAAAUAACUGAAGAUAUUUAGAGGGAAAACUGAAGAUGAGGUGAAAUAAAAACAAAGUAUGUCAGAACCGAGGGCGUUGAAUAGUUUAUCUUCACAGUAGCAUUGACAGUGAAUGCUGAGGUUUAGAUCUAACAGCUUUUAUAAGCUGAAGUAGUGCAAACAAACCAUUAGAUGACUACAACAGAAAUACACGGAC